Triticum aestivum (bread wheat) is the source of this 2653-nucleotide long non-coding RNA. RefSeq lists it as uncharacterized. The transcript has 3 exons. The record is from RefSeq and is a predicted model, not a curated record. NCBI's taxonomy places the organism in Eukaryota, Viridiplantae, Streptophyta, Magnoliopsida, Poales, Poaceae.
UCCCUCUCGUGGCGGCGGAUCCCGAUCACUCUCCUGUGGCGACGUACGGCGAAUUGCCAGAUGCGCCGCCGCGGCCGCGUGACCACAUCGGAGAAAGCGCUAUGAGAGGCCUGUCAUGUUUACCUUUUCCCAGGCGAUUCGGCCUUCUUCCUCGACGGCCGCUACUAGCCCAGCGCCAAAGCGCCCCUUCCGUUUCAGUCGCUGUGUACCGUCCGACUUGAAACCGACGGCGGCGCCGUAAUGACGGCGAUGAAGUUCGACGGUCUUCUUCUCGUAACCGUAGGUGCCAAAUCCUAUAGCUCCCGGGCAACGACGUGACGAUCGUCUCGCCUGCGUUCGCGACCGACAUGGCUGCGCCGAGACAAGGUGCUUUAGCUUCACAGGCUACCCCAACAACAACAAUGACUUAUUGGUCUUCUUUUCCCACACCCCAACUCAAGUUUAUUAUUGAUUGAUUGAUUCAUUUGUUUAUGCUUAGCUUCACAGGCUACCCCAACAACAACAAUGACUUAUUGGUCUUCUUUUCCCACACCCCAACUCAAGUUUAUUAUUGAUUGAUUGAUUCAUUUGUUUACCGUCAGUGUCCUCUUUGGAUGUUAAUGUGGAUUCUUGUUUCAUUUGGGCUGCUGCAUGAGCGAUGCUCAAUGGGCGAUCUACAAAGGAAUUUCCAGUAACAUGAUUGUGCAUGUGCUGAAGAUUUUGAAUCUUCCCAUCAUGGGAUAAAAAAGGGAGAAAAAUAGAACUUACUGUCUAAUUCUUCUUUGGGCAUACUAUUCUUAUAGAGAUAUUAAAGUGGGGCGAAAGUCUGUAGGUUUGAGGAGGGAGGGAGGAACCUUGCAGCUGCAUGAGGAUGCUUUGAGUCAAUGAGACUUGCUACACCCUCGAGUUUCUUGGCAUGUAUGGGGGCAACCACUACCUGAUUCAAGCCCUCUCUUCUGGAGCUCCCUUAAUCAAUUUACCAGUGAUUUCUCUGGAAAUAUAUUGAAGUCAAACUGAUGAUGAACUCAACAGUAAAUUAGGCAAAAAUGCAGAUAUUUUGCAAGUUCAACUCUGAAUUUGGCUUUUUGCUUAUGUGCCUUCACGUAUGCAUACCUUUGCCAUGUGUUAUUUUCUCAUGCAUAGGUCAGAUGAUUUGAAGAAGUUGGACUUUCUCGCCAUUGGUAUGACAAGGUUGUAUGACAUUUUGUUAAAUUCUAUACAAUUGUGCAGCCCAUGAAUGACAUACUUUGUUUGGUUAUGUAAAUGUUGUUAGACCUUCGUUAAUGUAGUUUCAAAAUUAGGAGUUCACACCAUUUAUUUCUUCCUUCGCCCGCAUCUCCCUCUAUCUCGCAGCAAGAAUCCUAACUGCCCACAUGUUCUCCACCCCCUACUUGAUUCUUAUUUUUUCGUGUGAGCUGUAAUAGCAUAAAAGCCAGCUUCAACAAGGCAAGAACUCAGAUGCGAGGAGGAUACGUGGGAGGAUGAUGCGCUUGAUCUCUUCUGCUCCGUUCAUUUCUACAUGACCGUGAUGGUGCGCCUCCUCCCUACCCUUGUCCUUGGUUUGAAUCGUGUGGAUCCUAACAGCUAAUUCUUAGUUAAUUACACUUUUUUGUGGUUUCCACCAGUCGAUUGUAGCUAUAUUGGAUGGAGUUUACAUUCUCGAUGGAUACAUGAUGUUUCUUUGUUUGUGUGGCUCCAGUCUAUCUAAUAUUUAUUAUUUCUUCUUUAUUUAUAUAGUUAGAUUGAUCUUGACGGGAGCCAAUCCAGGAGGUGAUAUAUACAUCAUUCAUAUUGCUUGUAGCUAACUGUUGGAAAAAAGCGGGAUGCUGAUGGUACAGGAGGAGUUGGUUGUUUAAACUUCUUUUUGACAAAAACUGAGGGGUUAAUAAAUGAUUUCGUCUAUAUCCAGAUUUUUUUUCUCCAUUAAAGUGCUUCACAAUUUACUCAUCUUACAUUCAUUCAAUUUCCGGCUAUCUCUGACAGGUACUUGGAUGCCGUUGCGUUCCAUGUAUCACCAACCAAUGCAUGGCUUACCUAAGUGCAAUCAUCAUCUACCAUUAUGCACAUGAUUUUUGAUAAGCUCAUAAAUGCUACAAUGAUUAAUAAGAGUAAGUUGUGCGUUGGUGUUACACGUUUAGUACAUUGGCACGUAACAUAUUUGUGUUAUUUUGGUUGCACUAAAUCACUUUUAUCUCAUCUUUUGUUCUAUUGCUUGGUUGGAGGCUUUUUGAUAUCUGAAUUAAAACCAACAAAGAAACCAAUUUCUCUUCUUUGACAUCCAACGAUGGAGAAUCUCACAACAGUAGAAGACGCUCUUACCAAAACGACCAAACACUACAAAUGGUAGAAAUUGACUAGGUGUGACAUUAUCCGGAUAUAUAGGUUUUAAAUUUUUUUUGCGAUUCCCAAAGUGAUGAUGUUGUAUUCUAAAACAUUGUUGCCAUAAAGAAGAGUGGGUGGUCGUCAACUCUAGGUUUAAAGAGUAUGAAUAGCACAAUGUGGUCAUAGAACCUGUUUGGAGUUUUAGUAAGGUUAUGGUUGAAGAUGUGUAAACUGGGCAGUGAGACAUUAUUGUGGCAUUGUUCCAUCCUUUUGUGGAGUAUGAUUUAGGUUUUGUGUUCUGUUGUGUAUUGUCUGAUUUUCCACUCUAUGACAAAGUAAUUUAAUUAUAUGU